This 254-nucleotide ribosomal RNA is filed under the name uncultured bacterium. Its description in RNAcentral is "partial 16S ribosomal RNA". It matches the Rfam family "Bacterial small subunit ribosomal RNA", at positions 524 to 776 of the family's 1533-position model. The record is from RNAcentral.
UACGUAGGGUGCGAGCGUUGUCCGGAAUUAUUGGGCGUAAAGGGCUCGUAGGCGGUUUGUCGCGUCGGGAGUGAAAUCCACUGGCUUAACUGGUGGCUUGCUUUCGAUACGGGCAGACUGGAGGUAUGCAGGGGGAGAACGGAAUUCCUGGUGUAGCGGUGAAAUGCGCAGAUAUCAGGAGGAACACCGGUGGCGAAGGCAGGUCUCUGGGCCAUUACUGACACUGAGAAGCGAAAGCAUGGGGAGCGAACAGG